GUGCUCGCCUGGGCAGCACAUAUACUAAAAUUGGAACGACACAGAGACGAUUAGCAUGGCCCCUGAGCAAGGAUGACACGCAAAUCCAUGAAGCAUUCCAUAUUUUU
Small nuclear RNA from Oryctolagus cuniculus (rabbit), 107 nucleotides. The record is from Ensembl. NCBI's taxonomy places the organism in Eukaryota, Metazoa, Chordata, Mammalia, Lagomorpha, Leporidae.